GACGUAGGGCGCGAGCGUUGUCCGGAUUUAUUGGGCGUAAAGAGCUCGUAGGCGGCUUGUUACGUCGUUCGUGAAAACUUGGGGCUCAACUCCAAGCUUGCGGUCGAUACGGGCAGGCUAGAGUUCGGUAGGGGAGACUGGAAUUCCUGGUGUAGCGGUGAAAUGCGCAGAUAUCAGGAGGAACACCGGUGGCGAAGGCGGGUCUCUGGGCCGAUACUGACGCUGAGGAGCGAAAGCGUGGGGAG
RNAcentral lists this ribosomal RNA (245 nucleotides) under uncultured Micromonospora sp. Its description in RNAcentral is "partial 16S ribosomal RNA". It matches the Rfam family "Bacterial small subunit ribosomal RNA", at positions 524 to 768 of the family's 1533-position model. Lineage: Bacteria; Bacillati; Actinomycetota; Actinomycetes; Micromonosporales; Micromonosporaceae. The record is from RNAcentral.